RNAcentral lists this small nuclear RNA (196 nucleotides) under Oryza sativa Indica Group (long-grained rice). RNAcentral describes it as "snRNA U2". It matches the Rfam family "U2 spliceosomal RNA". From Rfam's summary of the family: U2 is a small nuclear RNA (snRNA) component of the spliceosome (involved in pre-mRNA splicing). The record is from Rfam by way of RNAcentral. Lineage: Eukaryota; Viridiplantae; Streptophyta; Magnoliopsida; Poales; Poaceae.
ACCGUUACUUGGACUUUAGGCUAAGAUCAAGUGUAGUAUCUGUCUUAUCAGUUUAAUAUCUGAUAUGUGGGCCAUGUGUCCACUUUGAUAUUAAAUUUAUUUCCUGUCGGGGGAGGGCCCACCACAGUAGCUUGCUGCUGGGACUCUCACGUGUCGUCCUAGCGUUGCACUACUGCUUAGGCAUGGCGCACCCCAA